RNAcentral lists this ribosomal RNA (918 nucleotides) under uncultured bacterium. RNAcentral's name for it is "bacterial SSU rRNA". It matches the Rfam family "Bacterial small subunit ribosomal RNA", at positions 8 to 916 of the family's 1533-position model. The record is from RNAcentral.
AGAGUUUGAUCCUGGCUCAGAUUGAACGCUGGCGGCAGGCUUAACACAUGCAAGUCGAACGGUAGCAGGAGGAAGCUUGCUUUCUUGCUGACGAGUGGCGGACGGGUGAGUAAUGCUUGGGAAUCUGGCUUAUGGAGGGGGAUAACUACUGGAAACGGUAGCUAAUACCGCGUAAUAUCGAGAGAUUAAAGGGUGGGACUUUCGGGCCACCUGCCAUAAGAUGAGCCCAAGUGGGAUUAGGUAGUUGGUGGGGUAAAGGCCUACCAAGCCUGCGAUCUCUAGCUGGUCUGAGAGGAUGGCCAGCCACACUGGAACUGAGACACGGUCCAGACUCCUACGGGAGGCAGCGGUGGGGAAUAUUGCACAAUGGGGGGAACCCUGAUGCAGCCAUGCCGCGUGAAUGAAGAAGGCCUUCGGGUUGUAAAGUUCUUUCGGUGAUGAGGAAGGUGUUUUGUUUAAUAGACAAGGCAAUUGACGUUAGUCACAGAAGAAGCACCGGCUAACUCCGUGCCAGCAGCCGCGGUAAUACGGAGGGUGCGAGCGUUAAUCGGAAUAACUGGGCGUAAAGGGCACGCAGGCGGAUUGUUAAGUGAGAUGUGAAAGCCCCGAGCUUAACCUGGGAAUUGCAUUUCAGACUGGCAGUCUAGAGUAUUUUAGGGAGGGGUAGAAUUCCACGUGUAGCGGUGAAAUGCGUAGAGAUGUGGAGGAAUACCGAAGGCGAAGGCAGCCCCUUGGGAAUAUACUGACGCUCAUGUGCGAAAGCGUGGGGAGCAAACAGGAUUAGAUACCCUGGUAGUCCACGCUGUAAACGAUGUUGAUUUGGGGAUUGGGCUUUAAGCUUGGUGCCCGUAGCUAACGUGAUAAAUCAACCGCCUGGGGGAGUACGGCCGCAAGGUUAAAACUCAAAGGAAUUGACGG